Molecule: non-coding RNA, 97 nt
Organism: Morchella snyderi
Lineage: Eukaryota; Fungi; Ascomycota; Pezizomycetes; Pezizales; Morchellaceae
Source: the annotation of a GenBank genome assembly
GCCACUAUGGCCGAGUGGUCUAAGGCGGCGCACUUAAGUUCCCUGGGACUGAUCUGCGUUAUCGAAAGAUGCGUGCGUUCGAACCGCACUGGUGGCA